Molecule: long non-coding RNA, 610 nt
Filed under: Anas platyrhynchos platyrhynchos (common mallard)
Lineage: Eukaryota; Metazoa; Chordata; Aves; Anseriformes; Anatidae
Description: lncRNA (ENSAPLG00000024334.1)
Source: RNAcentral
AUGUAUGAGGGGUUCCUUUGGAGGCAUUUCUUAGGUAUUAAUGAUGGAGUUUGCAGAAGAUGUUGCAAUUGGAGAGGAAUGGAAUCAAGCUCUGUGAAGUCCUGUUCUUUUCUGUUAAGACCUGAAAAAAACAAUUCUCAAACUGUUUUACCAGUCAUUUCAAGCACUUCAGUCAAUAGGGACUGGGACUCUGCAGUCCUAACAGAACUAAACCCAGAGACGAUGCCCUUGCUUUUAUCCUUAACUUCUAAGAGGUCUGCCUAAAGUAAUCUGCAAGCUUCUGGAGUGUUGAAUUCAAGUUGUAAGUAACUGACACUAUACACACAAUUAUGGGAACUACAGAAAGCACAUGUAAUAUUCACAUAUUCCCCAUAUACCUGUUAAAACACUUCCUCUAGUCAAGAUCAGCAUGCUCAUAAAUUUAAGAAAAGGCUUUUUUUUAACCAUAGAGGAACUAGUGUGUCCAGUGGUGCUUUUAUACUCUACUUCCAUGACUUGUCAGCCCUGUCUGGGUUGAUUUGCAAAGAGCAGCUCAUGAGCUAGGGACCUAUUUUCUACUGAAUGAGGCAUACUAAAUAAAAUAAAUACUGAGCCUCUUUGUUGUGAACUC